AUACGUAGGGGGCGAGCGUUGUCCGGAUUUACUGGGCGUAAAGGGUGAGUAGGCGGUUGUAUAUGUCAGGUGUAAAAGGCUAUGGCUUAACCAUAGUUCGCACUUGAAACUGUAUGACUUGAGUGCAGGAGAGGUAAGCGGAAUUCCUAGUGUAGCGGUGAAAUGCGUAGAUAUUAGGAGGAACACCAGUGGCGAAGGCGGCUUACUGGACUGUAACUGACGCUGAGUCACGAAAGCGUGGGUAGCAAACAGGAUUAGAUACCCUGGUAGUCCACGCUGUAAACGAUGAGUGCUAGGUGUUGGGUAGCGAUACUCAGUGCCGUAGUAAACACAAUAAGCACUCCGCCUGGGGAGUACGUACGCAAGUAUGAAACUCAAAGGAAUUGACGGGG
RNAcentral lists this ribosomal RNA (392 nucleotides) under uncultured bacterium. Its description in RNAcentral is "partial 16S ribosomal RNA". It matches the Rfam family "Bacterial small subunit ribosomal RNA", at positions 523 to 918 of the family's 1533-position model. The record is from RNAcentral.